UAACUACUGGAAACGGUAGCUAAUACCGCAUAACGUCGCAAGACCAAAGAGGGGGACCUUCGGGCCUCUUGCCAUCGGAUGUGCCCAGAUGGGAUUAGCUAGUAGGUGGGGUAACGGCUCACCUAGGCGACGAUCCCUAGCUGGUCUGAGAGGAUGACCAGCCACACUGGAACUGAGACACGGUCCAGACUCCUACGGGAGGCAGCAGUGGGGAAUAUUGCACAAUGGGCGCAAGCCUGAUGCAGCCAUGCCGCGUGUAUGAAGAAGGCCUUCGGGUUGUAAAGUACUUUCAGCGGGGAGGAAGGGAGUAAAGUUAAUACCUUUGCUCAUUGACGUUACCCGCAGAAGAAGCACCGGCUAACUCCGUGCCAGCAGCCGCGGUAAUACGGAGGGUGCAAGCGUUAAUCGGAAUUACUGGGCGUAAAGCGCACGCAGGCGGUUUGUUAAGUCAGAUGUGAAAUCCCCCGGGCUC
This 472-nucleotide ribosomal RNA is filed under the name uncultured Escherichia sp. RNAcentral describes it as "bacterial SSU rRNA". It matches the Rfam family "Bacterial small subunit ribosomal RNA", at positions 144 to 610 of the family's 1533-position model. The record is from RNAcentral. Lineage: Bacteria; Pseudomonadati; Pseudomonadota; Gammaproteobacteria; Enterobacterales; Enterobacteriaceae.